RNAcentral lists this ribosomal RNA (494 nucleotides) under uncultured bacterium. RNAcentral's name for it is "partial 16S ribosomal RNA". It matches the Rfam family "Bacterial small subunit ribosomal RNA", at positions 30 to 523 of the family's 1533-position model. The record is from RNAcentral.
AUUGAACGCUGCGGCGUGCUUAACACAUGCAAGUCGAGCGAAGCAUUUUAGAGGAAGUUUUCGGAUGGAAUUUAAAAUGACUGAGCGGCGGACGGGUGAGUAACGCGUGGGUAACCUGCCUCAUACAGGGGGAUAACAGUUAGAAAUGACUGCUAAUACCGCAUAAGCGCACAGUGCUGCAUAGCACAGUGUGAAAAACUCCGGUGGUAUGAGAUGGACCCGCGUCUGAUUAGGUAGUUGGUGAGGUAACGGCCCACCAAGCCGACGAUCAGUAGCCGACCUGAGAGGGUGACCGGCCACAUUGGGACUGAGACACGGCCCAAACUCCUACGGGAGGCAGCAGUGGGGAAUAUUGGACAAUGGGGGAAACCCUGAUCCAGCGACGCCGCGUGAGUGAAGAAGUGUUUCGGCAUGUAAAGCUCUAUCAGCAGGGAAGAAAAUGACGGUACCUGACUAAGAAGCCCCGGCUAACUACGUGCCAGCCGCCGCCGUAA